GCUGGCGGCAUGCCUAACACAUGCAAGUCGAACGGUAACAGGUCUUCGGAUGCUGACGAGUGGCGGACGGGUGAGUAAUGCGUAGGAAUCUGUCUUUUAGUGGGGGACAACCCAGGGAAACUUGGGCUAAUACCGCAUGAGCCCUGAGGGGGAAAGCGGGGGAUCUUCGGACCUCGCGCUAAGAGAGGAGCCUACGUCCGAUUAGCUAGUUGGCGGGGUAAAGGCCCACCAAGGCGACGAUCGGUAGCUGGUCUGAGAGGACGACCAGCCACACUGGGACUGAGACACGGCCCAGACUCCUACGGGAGGCAGCAGUGGGGAAUUUUUCGCAAUGGGGGCAACCCUGACGAAGCAAUGCCGCGUGGAUGAAGAAGGCCUUCGGGUUGUAAAGUCCUUUCGUGGAGGACGAAAAGGUGGGUUCUAAUACAAUCUGCUAUUGACGUGAAUCCAAGAAGAAGCACCGGCUAACUCCGU
Molecule: ribosomal RNA, 474 nt
Filed under: Acidithiobacillus ferrooxidans
Lineage: Bacteria; Pseudomonadati; Pseudomonadota; Acidithiobacillia; Acidithiobacillales; Acidithiobacillaceae
Description: bacterial SSU rRNA
Rfam family: Bacterial small subunit ribosomal RNA
Source: RNAcentral